UACACAAAAAGAUUUGGUUUCUUGGAAUGCACUGAUAGGAGGUUAUUAGCACCACAGCCGUGCUACAGGGGCCUUACAGCUAUUCGAGGAGAUUAGGAGUGUCAAGGUUAUGCCAACUCACAUAACUUUCAUUUCUCUCCUGAGUGCAUGUGGAAAUGCUGGUUCUUUUUUUUUUUUUUUGUCACUGACGGAACUGAAGGUUUAUAUUCUCAACCCUUUGCUAAACAUGGAGACUUGGAGAGCAGGAGAGCAGAAGUAGACAAGUAAGAAGCAGCUUAGGCUGGCUGUUUCAUAAGGCAAACCUCAUUUCAUAGCGCUGUUAUUUUUAGGCCCCUUGUAUUUACAAAACAACCUCUUUUGUAAAACUAUUCAUGAACACUUAACUAAGCAGAAGCAAAGACUUACUAUGGUUUUUCUUAACUUAAUUAGGCGUCUGCAAUGGGCGGGCAAGAGGCCAAUGUGGUCACUGACAAUAUUCUGAAGGUACAUGCAACUUUGAGCUACAGCCUACAAUAAUUUCAGAUUGAAUUACUCUAAUCUGUGGUUACUAUAUAGACAUCACUUGCUUCAGAUAUUAGAACUAGAGAUAUGUGCAGACACGAUGGUAGGGGUUGAGAUGCUGAGGGACAUCUCUAGUGGACAACAAAAGCGUGUUACAACCGGUGAGAGCGCUUUUGAUGGUCGAAAUAUCAACUGGGCUUGACUGCUCCAUUACAUUCCAGAUUGUGAACUCGCUCAGGCAAUCCAUCACUUUUGUACCAGGUAGCCACUUAGUAAAUGUGUAACAUCAGCUGAUAACAAUGUGCUAGGGAAAGAAAAAUGAAGGCACAACUACACGAUCUCUGCUUUUGAGCUACUACAGACCGACGACUAUACAAUCAAUGUGCAUAUCAUUCCUCGUGCAGAGGUAUAACCUAUUUUUGCUUCUCAAAACAUAACAUGUCUAUUCAGUUUAUGCAUCUUAACUAGGUGAGAUUUCUUCUCUCAAGCUCUGAUUUGUUGACAAAUUCUGGUCUUAAUCGUUGCCACUAUUUUAAUACUUAUUCUUAACAUUCCCUUGCAUCGCGGUUCAUGAGUUUCAGGCUUUCACCUGUGUUAGUAAAAACUAAAAAGGCAAAUGGUUUGUACCUUGCACAGGUUUAUAUACAUGUAAGGAAAACAAACAUACUCAACAGGUAAUCCAUGUGCAUAACUACAUCUACCUCUUGGCCUAUGCAUUUGAUGGUUAAUCCGAAUUAAGUUUCUUGCAUAACACCUGAACAUAGGAGUGUUGUUCCAUUAAGCCGAUCAGAAUCAGUUCCUACCCACAAUCUGAAUUAUUUAAUGAUCGAUUAGAAACCCUCUCCUCACAAUCUGAAUUCUUAGAAGUAGCCUAUUUCCUUCUAUUUUGAUGCUGAGAUCGAUCCAACAUGUUACAAACUUAGUGACGACGAGAUUGAGAAAAGAAUAAACUUGCCUCCAUCACUGAGGCAGACAAUACCAAUUUCUUAAUGAAGACAAAAUUUAAUGAGGUGAUAGAUUCAUGCAAAGAUAUUACU
Molecule: long non-coding RNA, 1538 nt
Organism: Phragmites australis (common reed)
Lineage: Eukaryota; Viridiplantae; Streptophyta; Magnoliopsida; Poales; Poaceae
Exons: 3
Source: RefSeq, a predicted model, not a curated record